RNAcentral lists this ribosomal RNA (495 nucleotides) under Triticum aestivum (bread wheat). Its description in RNAcentral is "partial small subunit ribosomal RNA". The record is from RNAcentral. Lineage: Eukaryota; Viridiplantae; Streptophyta; Magnoliopsida; Poales; Poaceae.
AUGCGUCCAACACAAUGGAUAGCCCCUCCACCGGGUACAGUUAAGAUCAACGUUGAUGCUUCAGUUGGGAGAGGAGGACGCUAUGGAUCUGUAGGUGCUCUCUGUAGAGAUCAAACAGGCUUUUUCCUUGGAGCUUCGGCCAUUGUGUUUCAAAGAAUCUUUGACCCAGCUACACUCGAAUGCAUGGCCGUGCGGGAGGCACUAGCACUAGCUGAUGAUCUUUAUGAGAGGAACAUUCAAGUAUCUUCAGAUUGCAAGGUGGUGGUGGAAGAUAUUCGAGAUGGAAAUCCAACAGUCUAUGGAGCACUCAUACAAGAAAUCAUAGAUCAUAAGUCUACUUUUCAGUCUUGUAAUUUUAGUCAUGAAUUUAGGAUCUCAAAUGUCGAGGCUCACAAACUUGCGAAGCAUGCGUUAUCCCUUCCGCCUGGCCGGCAUGUUUAGCUUGGUCAAGCGGAUUGACUUUCAUUCGUCCAUGUAAACAUUGUGACGACAUAA